RNAcentral lists this ribosomal RNA (497 nucleotides) under uncultured bacterium. Its description in RNAcentral is "partial 16S ribosomal RNA". It matches the Rfam family "Bacterial small subunit ribosomal RNA", at positions 28 to 507 of the family's 1533-position model. The record is from RNAcentral.
GAUGAACGCUGGCGGCGUGCCUAAUACAUGCAAGUCGAGCGAACAGACGAGGAACUUGCUCCUCUGACGUUAGCGGCGGACGGGUGAGUAACACGUGGAUAACCUACCUAUAAGACUGGGAUAACUUCGGGAAACCGGAGCUAAUACCGGAUAAUAUAUUGAACCGCAUGGUUCAAUAGUGAAAGACGGUUUUGCUGUCACUUAUAGAUGGAUCCGCGCCGCAUUAGCUAGUUGGUAAGGUAACGGCUUACCAAGGCAACGAUGCGUAGCCGACCUGAGAGGGUGAACGGCCACACUGGAACUGAGACACGGUCCAGACUCCUACGGGAGGCAGAAGUAGGGAAUCUUCCGAAAUGGGCGAAAGCCUGACGGAGCAACGCCGCGUGAGUGAUGAAGGUCUUCGGAUCGUAAAACUCUGUUAUUAGGGAAGAAUAAAUGUGUAAGUAACUAUGCACGUCUUGACGGUACCUAAUCAGAAAGCCACGGCUAACUACGUG